Molecule: RNA transcript, 9679 nt
Organism: Nilaparvata lugens (brown planthopper)
Lineage: Eukaryota; Metazoa; Arthropoda; Insecta; Hemiptera; Delphacidae
Exons: 23
Source: RefSeq, a predicted model, not a curated record
ACUAUUCCAAUAUUAAAUCGGUAUUUAUUUGUCGUAUUAACUUUCAAGUUUAUGUCCUAUUCAAGAAAAUUGAUUAUGUAGUCAGCUCCGCUUUUUUCAAUGUGUUUUAAAAAUUUCAACAUCCUAAUUAUCCUGCACUCUCCGACUAUUUUCAUAGUAAGUCGCAACGUUUUUCGCUUUUAAAGUGAAAGUCGUCGCGAGUGUUUAUUUUGCUGAAAGAUAAUUGGGGGGACAGAAGCCCAGGAUGCUCUACUACGAUUACUGUGUGUGAGGCACUCAAGUGUGUACAAGCGUAUUGCUGUUGCUUACUCAUGUGUGUGUGAGUGUUGUUGCGUAUUUAGAGCACAGGGAAACAGGGAACUCGAGUUCAGUGUGCUUUAUCACGUGAUGAGUGGCUGUUAUGAAAGGAUAGGGAGACGAUGGCAGGGAUAGCAGACAGGAGGCUCUUGAUGAAAGGGAAGGGGAAAUUGAAUUGAUCCUUCCCAUCCCAUUCCCUUUUUCCCUCUUUUCCAUUUUCCCUCCCUUUCACAUGCGCAGUUCUGCCAUUUGGCGGGAAACUGCCAUUGCAUGAGUUCUCUCCAUUUCAUCUCACCAACAGACCUACUGCGGUUCGCCCACGGUAAAUCAAUAACCUUACUAUUUUCAAAUUUUAUAUCACUUACAUUCACAAUUUCUACCAACUAUAGAUGUAAGGUAUAUAUAUAUAUGAAUAAAAUAUGUAUACAAUUACUAAAGUUGAACUCCUAACCUUUCAGUUUUGACUACAUCACACAAACAAAAUUUUGAAUCCGUAUUGAAACUUCCAUACUCUGUGUUUCAACUCAUCAAAAACUCGUUGGACUUUCAAACGUGGGCUACAAACGGCUAUGCUAUACCUAUCUUAAAAUCACAAUUUUCGAGUGUCAAUUUUUGUAAUCAUUAUUGGUGAACAUUAAAGAAAUAUUCUGUGGAAAUUAUAAAUCGAAUUUGAUUUUCCGCUGUGGGAAAUUUGUCCACAGUACGGUAAUUUUGAAUGACUCCCUAAGCAUUCAACAUCUUGUCCGAUAAACGGAUUCUGGUAAUUGGAGACAGUGUGCCCAGAUGAUUGGCAUUUCUACUGGAGUGAUGAUGUUAUAGGUGACCGGAUGCUUCUGCCUGUGAAGUUGACACCUGCAUGGGAAAUUGCCUUUCUAGCUGUGCUAAGAGUUCCUCUGAAGCAUUGCAAAACAAUGAGGGAAAGAGCCAACAGCUUAUUUCAACAAAAGCGAAUACAGUCAUCAUUGCUCAACAACCUACAUGCAGUCCAAUCAAAAUAUUCGCCACUAGUGCAAAUAACGACAAUGAAAUCAGAGUUUUGGUGCAGAAAGAAUUGGCCGCUCUACAGGCUCAAAUCAAGCACAGCCAGGCAGUACUUGAAUCAUUGGGCGCAGCGUCCCAGGGCAAUGGAAAGAAAGUGUGUGCCUUUAUCCAUCGUACCACUCAGACCUUGGGGCAGGAGAACCAACCAAGGUCACUGGAAUGCAUUGUCACGAAAGACAACAAGUCAGCAAAGGAUUGGAAAAGUCAAGAACUCGCUAGCUCUUGUCCUGCAAUCGUUACGAAUGUCAGCAUAGCUGUUCAAACCGACAAUAAUCGUCAAGUGGGUUUAACGGUAGUAGACGUUCGAGUGGAUUCUGAUGUUGGACAAGAACAAGAUUGCUUCCUACCCCCGAUAAGUUCUUAUGAUUCAGUUAAUACUCAUCAAUCCAGAUCCUCACAUAAAAGCUCUUCUAGCAGUACAGUGGGAUACGAACCCCGUUCGCUAGACCUUGAUUUGGACAUUUAUAGAUCCUGUCGCAAGCUGUCAGUGCUCCCAGAGGAGGAGGUAUGUGAAGCGCCUCCCUCCCCUCACCUGAUGCUGCUUGGAGGCACUCAACAGGCCCACUCGUUCGAGUCCUAUCUACACCCACACACCAACUCAGGCCUGACGGGACCUGUCCGACAGCUGUCCGAUCCCACACCAGCAAACACCACGUCCCCUCCGCCUCGCGUCUCCACCAGACGCCCCUUGCAAAUCCAAACCCCGCACACGCAGUACUUCCGGUUCCCGGACACCAACAGUUUCGAGACCGAUUCCGGCCUCGAAUCGAAACCCACCCGUUCCGGUUCCCGUUCCAGUCCUACCUGUGACAUUGACGAAAGAAUCACCUCCCCCACCUACGGUAUCCUACAGGACACAGUGUCCCAACUUGUCACCUUCUCCCCUAUCGUACAAAACCUAGAGGUGCCCCAUUUCACGUUCAUCAACUCCCCGGAAACCUCCCCCUACAAAACACCCCCGGAAGGCUUUUCCAACAUACAAACCCCCGAGUACUGCAGCACUCCUCACUCAGAAAUCUCCAACGACCUUAGGAAAAAGUCGAUCGAAUCUGUAUCCGAAUCCUUAUCCUUCCAAACCCUCUCUGACAGCUCACCAGGUAACGUCAACAAUCCCAGCUCUAGUCCCUUCGGGUCACUGUCCCCUGUGAAACGAAGCAGUUUGGAAGAUGGUGGUACCCUGGUGACAGAUUUCAAUAAUCCUAAUCCUAGUAAACUGGUUGUGAAACCUCUGCACUCCAUGUUAUCGAUUCUGAUGGAUCCGAAACCGAAGGCCAAACCGGAAAUGACGGAGAGUUUAAAUCGCGCGCCAUCCAGGCGACGCCUCACCAGGUCCCUCAUGAGGGUCAGUUCUCAAACGCCCUUGGAACUCGUAUCAGUCAGAGAGCCAUUACCUGUACAGCCUGACUCUACUUCUUCAUCAGUUGAAACCGUUAUAAGGGCAACCGAUUUGCAUGAAAAGCCUAUUUUCCAGAGAAAAUCCAUCAGCAAUAUUGACAGCCUGGAGGAUUCAGCAUCUUUUGAAACUAUGCAAAAUGAUAGUGUACCGGAGAUCAGUGAGCCUGCCAACUUGAAUCGCAGUCUGUCCGAGACGAGUGCAGCAAGCAGCAAUAUUUCCUCGCAAAGUUUCCCGAGUUUAUCCGACAAUGUGUUGCGACAACUUGGUCUCUGGCUUGAAGAAAAACAAGCCGUUAUAUGUGAUCCUGAGCCUCAAUCAGAGAAAGAUAUUGAGGACAAAUACACAUCUCUUCUGCUGGCUUUCCAAACAGACAAGUUGACUUUGAAUUCGCGAUUAGAACUUCAAAAUCGUCUCAGGGAUCAAGCAGAGCAUAAUUUGAACAUAGAGAUUCAACAGUUACAGGUGGCUGUUACGAAUCUUAUUAGCAGUAGGUCCACGGAGCUAUCGGAUUUACACAACCAAAUAAACACAUUAACCAAAGCAGCUAUGCGAGUCUCCAGUGCCGCUGAGAUGUAUGGAGCAGUUCAGCAGGAGAGCAGAUUAUCGCGAGCAGUAGAUAUUAUUUUGAGUCACGUUGAAAACUUGAAACAAGCUUAUAACAAAGAAAAGACUGAACAUGUUGAAACUAAAAAAGUCCUGUCCGAGAAUAAAUCAAUACCUAAUUUACCAGCAGUCCAAAAAGCUAGAUGCCGAAGAAGGGCGACGAUAGCAGUAGGAGUAGCGCAACUUGGGACCAAUGUCACAUCCCACGAUAAUAAUUCUGCCAUUAAUAGUGCAUCUCUUGUACCAAAAAGGAUGUCACUACCGUAGCAGCUUAUUGAAACGAUGCCAGAGCAGGAUCAUUUUUCGUACGAUCAAGAUUCCAGAGACAACCGCAGCUUUCCAGAGAAAGGUCAAAUUCGGUAGAUAACUUCCAAGGACUUGAUAAACAAAUCUGUGCUCCAACCGAGGAGGAGUCGCAACAAAUCCCAAUUCUACUAAGAAUGAAUCCAAAUGAGAAGAAACUAAUCAGAACAUGUUCGCAUAAGGCAUGCACUUGCGACCAGCCUUCUGAAUCAGAUGUGGGAGAAGAGUCGGACGUCUCAAUUCCUGCGGAGCCCAGUUUAAGUCCCUGCGUCGUUAGCAGCUAUCAUAGCAGGCUGUUGGAUCAUUGGAAUAAUAUCCUGAGCUCCACAGACGACUUGGUCCUUCACGCGCGCUACGGUUUGGCUGGAAUCUUGAUUGUAGCUGCGAUCGCGAUAUUCUGCUCAAUGCUUUAUUUGUAGACAAUCAAAUCAAAUCAUGAUUCGAAAAAAGUGAGACUAGAGACUGCAUUAUUCUGCUUGAAAAAGACUCAUAUAAUUUAUCGAAAACUUUGUUAUUUUUUCAGUCAAUUCAUGGCAAACUAAAUUACACUUAUCUAGCUUUUCCAACUUUGGAACCCAGCCUAGCCUAAAAUAGUGUGGUUUAGGUCCCUAAUUUGACCUAAAAUAGUCUAGGUAAGGUUCGUAAGUUAGUGAUUCAACUCAACGCUCGCCGCGGAACCAUUUUAAAGUAAUGUUAUAGUGUUACUUGUUAUUAGAUCUGUAAAAUGUAUUGUUAUUCUAUGUAAAACUAUCUUUCGAAGCAUUUUAUGUGGACCAAACUCUCAUCAGCCUUCCAACUAUUCGUGAUGUAUUAUUGUAGAACACUUUUAAUAGAACAGCCUUUAUUGAAUUGUUACCUCUUUAAAACGUUUUGAAUGUUAAAUCUAUCAGGUUGGUUAUUAAUUCGUUAUUUUAUUUUAGAAUUUAUAUUUAUAGUUACUCAAUAUCCUAUUUUAACGAUCAACUAUUUAAUUUCUACAUUAUAAUUAUUAAGUGGAAAUUUGACCGUCUCCUUCGUUCAUUUUCUCAUUUUAUUCCUUGUUCUUGGUGUAUUUCUUUUGUUAUUUUACUGAAACCUCUUUAUUGAAACUAUCAUAUUGUUUGGAAAAUUCAAUUGUUUAAAACUAAUGUUAAUGAACUUUAGCCUAGUAGUUUGAAAGAACAUGAUUACAUAAAUAAUAUUAUUGCAGUUGCCUUGCAGCAUAGAAAAAACGUUACAGAAUAUUUUUCAACUAUCAUGUAUAAACUAUAUAGAAUAUUUUCAACUAUCAAUAGACAAUAAAAUUUUAACAGUAAUUGCCAUAGCUACGUUGAAGCUGAAAAAUGUUAUUCAUCUCAAAAGUUAGUGAUAAAAGUCCAUACGAAUAAUUUAUCAAAUUUUACAAUAAACUUUCAAUUGUUAUUGUUAUGACUACGGUAGAUACUACUUAACAUUUUAGCUGACUGUUAAAACAGUAUUAUCUAUUGAAAAAAUUUAUUCCAAUAUCAAAAUAGGUUUAGCAAGUAUUGAAAUGUUACAGAUACUUUACGAUGGUAUCUCUAAAUUGUUAUUAAUAGCUACUGUUAAUAUAUUUUUCUUAUUCUAAAAGUCCAUUAUAAUUUCAAUUUUUCGGCUAUAGUUCAGACAAAUUCUUAUACUAGUUUUUAUAUUGUCCAUGGUAGUAAAAGAUAGAACUCUGAUGUUAUCCAUCGUUAAACAAAUAUAUUCAAUUUUUAAAAUAUUCUUAGUAGAGAAGAGUCAACUAUCAAUUUUCAAUGAAGUGUAGACAGUUUAUGAUCAAAUUCGUCGAGGAAAGAGCAAUCACGCUCUAUAUCUUCUAUGGCUGAAUUGAAACAAUAAUUUUCAGUUAGAUCUUUUAUGAUAAUGUAAUUAAUUUUUGAAAACUAUAUUUGCCUGCCAUUGUAGUUCGCAACGUAGAGAAUCGAAGUUGGGAUUUUUGAGAAGUAGGAUACGAAAUAAACUAUAUCAAGAACAUAAAAAAGUUAUUUAAUACCAUAUUAUAUAUUCACAAUUAAUCAUCGUUACAAGUAAAAAUCAUGAAAUAAUUAUUAAAAUGGUCAAAUCGACCAUGUAUAAAACAUGCACAAGAUCAAAACAAAUUCGUUAAUAGCCAACAGUGUAAUAUAAUUCCAAAAAUGAGUUCCACUUGAAGAAUUCAUUACAACAGUUAGAAUGGAAAUUGUUUCUCAUAAUUUUAAUUUACAAUAGUAGUUUAAACAUGUAGAAUUAUUACAAAACGAAUACUUAUUCUCAUCUAUAUCUAUAACUCUAAUUUUAUAAUUUGUAAAUGUAAUGUUUUAACACAGUCUUAUUCUAAACAUUAAUUAUUAUUCAUUUAUAAUGUUCAAUCCUGUUUGAAGGGAUUGAAGACUUGGAGAAUUCUAUUUCAGAUCAUAAACGAGCUAACAGUUUAGUUAAUUUAUUACAAAAUGAGCCAAUUAUAAAAUUGAUAAAUAUUUAUUGUACAAAAAUUCUGUCACAAUGUUCAUGAAUAAUAAAUUACUUGAUUGAGAAGAUCCAAAUUUUUGUACUGCUUUAGUGUGUCUUUACAUGUUGGCCAUUUAUUGAAAAUUUGUGCUUUAAUAAGCUUAAAUGCAUUACUUCAAUUGGUUAAUAGAUCGUAAGUUGUAUCAAAGAAGAAAUACUAUCCCUCGAUUUUGCAUUAUGUUAGCUAAGCAAUAAAUCAUAUCUCUUGAAACAAAAGAGAUUGCAAUACCGUAAUCAUAAACAAUUUACAAUACUCUUUGAUUUCUAGUUCAAUCUGUUCUCCGUGACUUGAUUAGGAAUUGAGAUUUUAACUUAUGUCCUAACUAUAUAUUUUCGUAAUACAACAAUUUCAAAGUUGAACCAUUUGAACCAAUUGAACCAUGGGAAAUAAGGAAGAACGACUUAAUCAAAUAGUUUGUAUUUAAAACAUCUAGGUACUUCAAAUAUUCAAGAAUAAAUGUAGGCUGGAAAUGCUUGAAUGCCUCUUUUUCAUCCAAUAUCAUUUUGUGGUUCGUGAAAAUGCCAAUCAAUAUAAUUAUCUGAUCUUUUUUCCAAGAGAAAAUAAUCAUUAUUAAGCAUCUAUAAUAUCACUGACUUUCUGGAAUGAAAUUUUAAAAUUAUGCUCAACAAACUAAGUUAAAAAACAUCAUUAUACUAGUACUUUGGUUUAGAUGCAUUUCCAAUUGAUAGAAUAAUUUAUUAAACUCUCAUAAUUUAUUUUUUUCAAAGAACAUAAUAAAACAUUAACAUACUUUGAUUGAAUAAUAAAUUCUUCUCCAAAGUAUCUCAAUUUUAAGUCAGUGGCAAGACUAAUGAAUCGAAUAGGUAUCCUACGAAUAGGUAAAUUUCCUACGAUAAGAAAUUGAUGAUUUUAUAAUUAAUUGUAUUGUUAGUCAAAAGACACAGUAGAACGCUAAUCACCUUAAAUAUUUAUUUGGCAGUGAGGGACAAUCUAAGUGAACGUUCACUCAUAACAGUAUUCCAACUAACUAAUAUUUAUAUAUUUAAAACUAUAAGAUUGAUCAAAAAGUUUAAUAUCCGUAGUUUAUGUUAUGAUUUUAAGGUGUACAAAUGCGUUAUUAAGAAGUAUAAAUUUAUGAAAAACAAAUAGUUUGAUAUCAAAACUCAUAUAAAUUUACAAUUUAGCCAAUAGAAGCUGCAUAGAUUUUAAACAAUUUUACUACGUACCAAUACACCAUUGUUCCUCUAAGGAAAUUCCAACGCAAAUGCCAUUCAAGAAAACCUACGUAUUAUAAUAGGACUUUUCAAAAACAAAGUUCAAGACUGGAAUGUUUAUGGUCCUGAUAACCAGUUUUGCUAUCAUAUAUCAGUGAUAAUAGAACAUUACAUUAUAUCUGUAUGUAGAACAAUCGUGUAGCAUAUAAUAUAACAAUACUCGUUUUUAUUUUCUCUAUGAUGUAGGUUUAGUGGAAAAUUAUCCCUGAACUCCGAAUUUCCACACUACGACUAAAUCUAUAACUAGAUCAACCAAAACUAGUGGAGUUAUCCAGUAAUAGAAUUAUAAAAAAUCUAGCAUACUUCAGCCAUAACACAGCAUCAGCGUGAAGAGAAGGGAUUUUCUUAUUUAAAGGCUAGAUAUGUGUGACAACCUAAACUUCACUCAUUGGCUUUUUCAGAUCUAUCAAUCAUUUAGACAAUAAUAAGUAAACCUCAAAAGUAUUUGUUCGUGUUUUCCAAUGUACUCUUCAUAAUAACAGUCAUUGCUGUUUACUGCGGAUAUCAAGUUUACUGUAAUACAAAUUACAAUCUUUAUCGAUCUCUGUUAUAUUGAGUUAUUUAUAUAGUUGGUAGGUUUCUUCCAAUCUUAAUGAGAAAUUUUCAUAUUAAAACACCUCCCUGAUCUAUUAUUUCCAUCUAGGUAUUUGGAAAAAUCUAUCCGAUUUUUUCGUUUUGCUCGAUUCUGACCAUAACUCUAACACAUACAGUUAAUUUUACACAGAGAAGAUAGAUUAUAUUAAAAUUUUCUUCAGACGCUAUUCUGGUAUUUAUGUUAAUCAAUAAUAUUAUCCUUACAAUCCUUUUAUAAAAUAAAAUUUCUCAAUGAACAACAUACGCUGUAUACGAUUAAAAGUCAAUUCAAACAAGCCAACAAUGAACAUUUCACAUUGAAUAAUAAUGGAGACAUCCUUAGAAAAUACUAACUCUUAAUCAAGAUGCUAAAAGGUCUACAAAAAACCCAUAAAAUAAUUACCUCACUCAUGCAACACAGAAUCUUCCAAUAAAUUAACUUUCUCUUGUGGUAUAAAGAUUAAAAACUAAAUCUAUCUAUAAUACAGAAUUAAUCAGUAUAUUACACUCAUAGUUCCUAUUUUAUGGCUUGAAGUUCAUCGAAGAAAUAAACUUUAGCGUAUAAUUCAUGACGGGUCACGUUCUAGUAAGAAACGAAUCUUAAGAACGGGAAACUCUAGACAAAAUAUAGGUAAUCAUAUAAAUCUCUCUGGUUAUAAGUUGUAAAAUAUCACUACUUAAAUAUGUACAAACAAUAUUCUGAAAGUGAAUGUCUGACUAGAAGACAGAAAUAUUUACAAUAUGGGCUCCUGAGGAUCAGGUAUAUUUUAUACAAUACACGCUGAAACGGUUAUGAUUUUCUCGUGGAAUAAAUAUUGGUCAUUGAUUACUUGGGGGUUGAUGCUUAUGUUUAUGCUUGUUAAAUAUUUUUGCUUCUUUAUGAUUGAACAAUUUAUUAAUUAUCGAAUAGUUGGCAAUGCUUUCAAAUCACAUUAACUGUACAUCACUGACUAAUAUAAUACUGUCAAUAUAAUAAUAUGGCAUUAUCAAAAUAUGAUCCAACAAUGCCAUAAGAGAAUACGUCUAGUAGUUAAAUAGGCUAUUAUGCGCACAUCAAUAUUUUUUUGAUUUGUUCAGAAAGUUCAGAAUUGAAUUUAAUCACUUAACCCUAUUGUAAAAAUAUAUUUUUAUCAAUAUUGAAAAGAUGUUUGUUUACAACAUUUUUGAAUGUAUUAGUACUACUAAAAAGCAUCUGGAAACGCUAAAAACAUGAGGACACUGGACACAUUCUAUUGACUUAACAGCUAUGCUUGAUUCACUAGAUAAAGCUAAUACUUAUGACAGUUUAUAGUGACUCAUAAAACACCAAGCUCUAAUUUAAAAUUUUGCCAAAAUAAUUGAACGAUUCGAAAAUGUACAGAAUUCAAUAAGUGAUAAAAUCAUGAGACUAUUUUGUUUAGUCGAUGAAGAUGAAAAUAUUUCUUUCACAUCCAAAUUCACCUACAAAGUAGCUGGAAUUAAAUUAAUAGGUGUUCAUUCGUGUAUGCAUAUGCAAGCAGGCACAAAGCAGUAGUCUAUGUCUGUAUGAUGUUCCCGGCAUUUAAAGUUCAGUUUUGUUGUUUAGUAGCUUACUUUAGUUUUGUUGGUGGAGUUUUUUUGUUAUUUAUUUAUUAUUAGCCUGUAUACUAUUCAUCUCAUCUAAUAAGUAGGCCUUAGUUUUUUGGAGUAAGAGUUUUUUUUGCUCCAGCUUUCAAGGUUUGUAAAUUCUAUACAAAAAAAACCGUAGAAACCAAUCCGAAAAAA